RNAcentral lists this ribosomal RNA (465 nucleotides) under uncultured bacterium. RNAcentral describes it as "bacterial SSU rRNA". It matches the Rfam family "Bacterial small subunit ribosomal RNA", at positions 28 to 507 of the family's 1533-position model. The record is from RNAcentral.
GAUGAACGCUAGCGGCAGGCCUAAUACAUGCAAGUCAAGGGGCCAGUAAUGGCACCGGCGGACGGGUGCGUAACGCGUACACAACGUACCUUUGGGUGGGGGAUAGCAUCGGGAAACUGGUGGUAAUACCCCAUGGUAUUGGAAACUGGCAUCAGUUUUCAAUUAAAGACUACGCCCAAAGAUCGGUGUGCGUCUGAUUAGCUAGUUGGUAAGGUAACGGCUUACCAAGACGAUGAUGGGUAGGGGUCCUGAGAGGGAGAUCCCCCACACUGGUACUGAGACACGGACCAGACUCCUACGGGAGGCAGCAGUGAGGAAUAUUGGUCAAUGGUCGCAAGACUGAACCAGCCAUGCCGCGUGCAGGAAGACGGUCCUAUGGAUUGUAAACUGCUUUUAUACAGGAAGAAACCCUCCCACGUGUGGGAGCUUGACGGUACUGUAGAAUAAGGAUCGGCUAACUCCGUG